UACGUAGGGUCCGAGCGUUGUCCGGAAUUAUUGGGCGUAAAGAGCUCGUAGGCGGUUUGUCGCGUCUGCUGUGAAAUCCCGAGGCUCAACCUCGGGUCUGCAGUGGGUACGGGCAGACUGGAGUGCGGUAGGGGAGAAUGGAAUUCCUGGUGUAGCGGUGGAAUGCGCAGAUAUCAGGAGGAACACCGAUGGCGAAGGCAGUUCUCUGGGACGUAACUGACGCUGAGGAGCGAAAGCGUGGGGAGCGAACAGG
This 253-nucleotide ribosomal RNA is filed under the name uncultured bacterium. Its description in RNAcentral is "partial 16S ribosomal RNA". It matches the Rfam family "Bacterial small subunit ribosomal RNA", at positions 524 to 776 of the family's 1533-position model. The record is from RNAcentral.